Nannospalax galili (Upper Galilee mountains blind mole rat) is the source of this 107-nucleotide small nuclear RNA. The record is from Ensembl. Lineage: Eukaryota; Metazoa; Chordata; Mammalia; Rodentia; Spalacidae.
GUGCUAAAUUUGGCAGCACUUAUACUAAAAUUAGAAUGCUAUAAGGAAGAUUAACACGGCCCCUGUGUAAGAAUGACAUGCAAAUUUGUGACGCAUUCCAUAAUUUU